This 16-nucleotide small RNA is filed under the name Arabidopsis thaliana (thale cress). Its description in RNAcentral is "ATSL001550". Lineage: Eukaryota; Viridiplantae; Streptophyta; Magnoliopsida; Brassicales; Brassicaceae. The record is from RNAcentral.
UUUUUUCUUCUGUCAG